Molecule: ribosomal RNA, 500 nt
Filed under: uncultured Myrionecta
Lineage: Eukaryota; Ciliophora; Litostomatea; Cyclotrichida; Mesodiniidae
Description: SSU rRNA
Rfam family: Eukaryotic small subunit ribosomal RNA
Source: RNAcentral
CUGAUCCAAGACUAGCCAUGCACGUCUAGUACAAACUAAGUGAUGGUGAAACUGCAAAUGGCUCAUUACAACGGUUAUGAUGUACCCGGGAGUUCCGAUGGAUAUUUCCAGUAACACUAGAACUAAUACAUGUCCCUGCGUUUAUUAGUUUCGCACAGUCCGUCGCUGAGUCAUGGUAAACAGUUGAUCGACUCGACGUCCCGGAACAGUUUCCGCCCCAUCAGCUUCGAUGGUUGGGUAUUGGCCUACCAUUGCAACAACGGGUAACGAGGAAUUAGGGUUUGAUUUCGGAGAGGGAGCCUGAGAAACGGCUACCACAUCUACGGAUGGCAGCAGGCGCGCAAAUUACCCAAUGCAGACACUGUGAGGUAGUGACGAGAAAUAAUAAAGCGGGACUUCUGUUUCGCUAUUAUAAUGAGGAAUAACCAAAGGUCAUUCCGAUUAGCAACUGAUGGGAAAGUCUGGUGCCAGCAGCCGCGGUAAUACCAGCGUCAGUAGCA